Theobroma umbraticum is the source of this 2304-nucleotide long non-coding RNA. RefSeq lists it as uncharacterized. The record is from RefSeq and is a predicted model, not a curated record. NCBI's taxonomy places the organism in Eukaryota, Viridiplantae, Streptophyta, Magnoliopsida, Malvales, Malvaceae.
AGAUCAUAAGUGGAAAGGAAAAAUAAGACAUGCAUUGAUUGUUUAUGCUUGUGGUAGCAAUGGUGACCAAAAAUGUGAGAGAUUGUGAAAUAUAUGUGGAAUCCAAGCUAAAAACCGAAAGGUAAGCAUACAUUGAGAGUACAUUAUGUUGUGUUGUCCUUCAUUGGUUGAAAGUAUGUGGAUUGCAUGUUAAAUUACUGUGAAUGAUGAGGAUGAAAAAUGUAAUAGUAGAUUAAGGAUUAAUUGAUUGAAGUGCGGCCUAUACAUGUGUGUAAUUAAUUAUACUCAGUUUGAAUUGUUGCUAGGAAAUGAGUAAAUUAGGAAGGUUUGCCAUGGUGGCAUACCGGUGGAGAUAACGGGUGAUUGGCAAGUAGAAUUAGCUGGAGACACACUUGAAUCGAUAGCGACAUAAUGUCUUACUAUUGUAAGGCUGUUAGACGUGGCUGGGACCAUGGUCUAUCAUAUAUAUGGCUAGGCCACAAGAUGAUAUACGUGGUUACGAGCACAUGAUUUCUCCGAUGUCCCAACAUAGUCGAGAUUGCCAUGGCUAUGGGAAUAUGGUAGAGUGAGGCUCCCAGAUUGUUAUUACAUGGAAGCAAGUCCACGAGUUGAUUAUUUACGAUUACCUACUCGAGAGUGGUGUCUCUUUAGGUUUUAAAAAAUGACUUCUUUCGCAUGGUGAGAAAUACAAAGCUUUUCGUAGCUCUUUAUUUAUACGAUGAUUUUGUGUUUAAUACCUCGAAGAUGAGAUGAUUUAUGAGCUUUUGUAAAAGCUUUGAUAAUGUUUGACUUCAUGGGAGCAUUCGUACUUAUGUUAGUUCAAUUUUAAGUAAAGGACAUUAAAUGCUUUCGAUGAUAGAAUUCUCUCACUCACACUACCUUUGAUAAAAUGAUUGUUAAAUGAUUACUUUGCAUUAAAAUUCUUGGUUUUAUAUGUAAGACACAAAUGUUCCAUUUGCUUUAAAAUGUUUUAUAUAUUCAUAUGAUUUUAAUAUUCAAAUUAUCUAUCCUUGGCUUGUUUUCCAUCUACGCCCUGCUCACGAAGUAGAUGAUCACUAAGUUUGUGAGACUCACCCCCCUUCUCUCCCAUUUGCAAAUAGUAAUCGGCCUAGCGUGCAAUUAUCGGCACUUAUGGUCCAUCGUGGAUAGGUAAAGGUAUCUCAUAGCACUUUAUUCUGACUCACUCUACUGCUAGUGGUUAAGUCGUUUGUAGUGCAUUUAUUUUUGUAAAUAGACAUUAGUCUCAAUACAACUGUACAGUUUGAAAUUAUACAUUUGGAUGUAGUUUUACAAUUUUGUGGAAUAAAGGUUAAGUUGAUUUAUUAUGACUAUUAUUCAAUACGAUAUUGUAAAGAGUUAUUCGGUACAAGGGAUUACAUAGAUUGAUGAAUAAAUAUAAUGAAUUAAUGAGAGUAUCUAAUAAGGCUUGUUCAAGACUUGGCGAGUUCUUCUGCAAGUCUCGGAUGCCAAUAAUGAUAAGGUAGAGGGCCAUUACAUAUGCAUAGACUAGGACAUCUAGAGGCUAUGAUGAACCACUAAGAGUAGAUUACCCUAGGUGACUGAUAUGUUCACAUGAAUUGAUUGAAUCAUGCCUUAGGACUCAGAGGCUCUUAAAACUUAGUCGAGCUUAAGACGAUUGAAAUUUGACAAAUGUGAUUUAUGGUUUGAAAAGGAAAGAUGUGAAUGAUAAAGGCAUGAUGGCCUUAUUUGUGGACUUGUGUUCCAUUCAGGGAAUGAAUUUUUGACGUUGAUCUAAUUUGUGGUUGGGUUGAUUUCUAGCCCUCUGUGACUAUUUGUGUGCCUGCAAGGAUGGUGGCACUAAUCUCAUGUAUGAUUCUGGCCUGUGGUGCUUUGAUGCCAUUCGUUGAGAUUACUCUGAGUGAUGCCAAAGUCAAGAGUUUGCUCUAGUCGAUGGUUUGUUCUCCGCUAGCUGCUUUGGUGCUAUGUGUGAUCUGUUCUCCCCUCAUUGCUUCGACACAUGCGUGAUCUAUUUCUCCAUUAGUGGCUUUGUCCUAAGUGUGAUUUUUGUCUCUGUCAGUUGUUCACUGUGCAUGAUCUCACUAUGUCCAUGUAACGACUGCUUCUUGAUCUCUACUUGCGUUUAAGUCUUGUGGGAGAACCCGUCAAGUCCCAAACAAGCCUUAAUUGAAACUUUUGUUAAUACGUUCUAUUCAUUUCACCAAUAUAUGUAAUUGCUUUGAACCAUAUAACUCUUUGUAAUAUGAUUUAAAUAGAAGUCAUUGUAAAUCGACUUAACUUUAAUUCCUCAUAACUAUAAAAAUAUAUCAAAGUUUUUUUUUUUAA